Labeo rohita (rohu) is the source of this 2653-nucleotide long non-coding RNA. RefSeq lists it as uncharacterized. The record is from RefSeq and is a predicted model, not a curated record. The transcript has 4 exons. Lineage: Eukaryota; Metazoa; Chordata; Actinopteri; Cypriniformes; Cyprinidae.
AUCAACUAAGUUUUCACUUAGUUUCAACUUAACAUUUCAAGUUGACUAACUUAAAACUGACUGAACUUUUAAAUUUUAAAGGCAGCCAGGUAACAAAUUAUUUUAAGUUGACUCAACUAAUUGUUUUUUACAGUGUAGUUUAUCUUGCUAUGAGGUGGUUGUUGUUUGAUUUUUGUUGACUUGGAUUUUAUAAAGGUACUAAAAUGAGUCAGUCAUUAGGUACAUCUACAUAAGCUACAGUUGGUUUUUGUAUGGUAAAGCUGUAGUCUACAUCUCUCUGUCUGAGUGAUUAUACAGACCCUUUGCAUCAGCCAAGCUAUAAAGAUUAGGAAAACACCACAGUGCAAUCUGCUCCAGUUAAAAUCAUUUAAAAGUAUGUUAUCCACCUACACUGAAAAAAGUGCACAAGGCAUGUCAUUACUCUAAUGAAGUUGUCAUACUUGAGCUAACUCAAAACAUUUAAUUUUCUGUCUAGCAUCAGUGUAAUGUAAAAAGUUUGGUUGAUUUAAAUUAGAAGUAAGUCUUGUUAGUGUAAAGUAAAUACAUUUCUGUAAAUUAAAUUAAAAAUAUUGGUUUCCAUUGUCUUCUAACGUCAUCCGUGGUCGUGCGUGUCGACGUUCAGCUUUCCGCCAUCUUGUUACACCGCAUGGAUGAACUCGGCGUGGUAAAACGGGAAUCAAGAAAAUUGGUAAGUAAUUUUAAACAUACGUUUGGGCUUAUUAUUAACAUUAUACAUGUAUGAUUUCAUAAAAUAUUAUGUUGUACUGUUGUUUUACAUACAGUUAGUAUUACUAGUUUGACGGCUCUAACUCGGCUAGAAGGUUUACAAGUUUCCCUCAUCACGAUGUUAAACCGAGUGGAAAUAAAAAAAUAAUAAUAAUAAUAAUAAUAAUACAAGUAAACUGCUAGAGGUGAGAUGGAUUGAUAUUGAAAUGUAGUAUAAAGACUGUUUCUGGUAUACUGGAGUGCGAUACAACAGCGUGCAUGUACUUUAUAGAUGGCACCGCCAUGUAUAACGUACAUGCACGCUUCAGACGCUUUGUAUGGACUUAACGUUGUUAUGAAGCUUUAUUAUUAUGAUGAUUUUUAUUGAUUUAUUAUGAAGCUCACGUUCGCAAGGUAUUCGCUGUCCUUACUUGUAUAGUCUCUCAUUUAUGAUUAAUGUUAACACAUAACGGUAGCUUAACCAAACAUGUCUUCAGUGAUGUGCCUAAACACUUGUUAUUUUAACGUAUUGCGUCGACCAGCUUACCCAGUAAAGAAGUCGUCUGUUUACUUUUAUGUGAGCCAGUUUGUUAUUUCUCUUUGUCUUUUGUAGGAUGGGGUACAGCUCAACAACAAUUAAGACAGGUUUUAAAUAAUCCAGUCACAUGAAAAACAUUAAUGCCGAAUUUUUGCAAAUCACGACCCUACAUUUACAGUUGAGAAUUAUGGCUUCUUUGGACAGACAGAGCUCUCAGCUUCUCCAGGUUAUUAGGAGCCAAGGUGGGGUCCUCCGUGAAAAAACGUUAAAGUUAUGGAUCAGAGUCCGGACAUAGACAUCAGAAGAGAGUGCCUGCUGAAGUGCCUGAUCAUGUACCUUCAUGUAAGAUGCAAGCUGUCUGAUCAAAGAAUACCAGGCUGACCAGAGGGAGGAAGCGGAGAGAGAAUUUGAAAAGACCACCAUGGCAUUUUUUGUGAUCCGCGAAAGUGAUGCUCUUAGUUGUGCACUGGACAUUUCCAUUGUCAUUGACGGUGUGGAAGUACUAAAUGAGUUGCCCUCUGUUGCAUGUGUCUGUGCCAUGAUCUUUGGACUCAUUUAUGCACUGAACUUAAAAUAUCCUGAAGGACUCAAAUAUACCUUUGAGGCCUUUCAAAAAAUAAUCAUGGACAUAGAGAGUAAGCAGAUGAGCCGAAGGGUGCAGAACCUCUCUUCAAAGCUGCAGGAGUACAUUUAUUUCCUUUGACCCAGCUACAAUGUUCUGCUGAUGGUAAAUUUCUUCGAAGAUGUUGGACUGUAUAAAGCCUUUUGUACAAAGUUAACUGUACUACUGUUUACUAAACCUGAUUUGUUUUAUCUUGGUUAAGUUGUGUUUUAUCUAGGGUUAGUUAAAUAGUUUACCCAAAAAUGAACAUUCUUACAUUGUUUACUCAUCCUUAAGCUAUUCAAGUAUUUAACUUCAAUUAAAUUUGGUUCAGAGACAUUUUAUGACAAUUUUUUGAUAAGUUUGAGAUAACUGAGAUAAGUUUCAUUUUGGGGUAAACUAUUCCAUUGGCUAAUUUGGUAGGUAUUUUAUUAAAAGUGUUUGGUUUUACACUGCCCAUUUUAAACCAGUUUUUGGGCCAAACUUGUUUUAACUUCAGAGGAAUUCUAAAGGUUUUAUUGUGUAGUCAGUUCUAAGUGACUGUUCAUGGAAAGAUUGCAUGUUUCUCUUUGAAAUGAUAACUGAUUCUUAUGGUGAAUUUACAUUGUAUCCAGUGUGUCUAUGUAUAUGGAUACUAAAAACUGUUAUACAGUAUGUUUUUAUAACAAUACUAUACAGAUUGUAGAAAUUUUUUAUGACAAAAAUGGUCAAGUUUAUGAUGUGUUUACAUUGUUAGUGUGUAUUGGUAUGAGAAUACUGUGCACAUUGUAAAAAAACUUGUAUUAUGACAAAAUAAAUUGUCAAAAGUU